CUACUAGGGUUUCUAAUCCUGUUCGCUCCCCACGCUUUCGCUCCUCAGCGUCAGUAAUGGCCCAGAGAUCCGCCUUCGCCACCGGUGUUCCUCCUGAUAUCUGCGCAUUUCACCGCUACACCAGGAAUUCCGAUCUCCCCUACCACACUCUAGCUAGCCCGUAUCGACUGCAGACCCGGGGUUAAGCCCCGGGCUUUCACAAUCGACGUGACAAGCCGCCUACGAGCUCUUUACGCCCAAUAAUUCCGGACAACGCUUGCGCCCUACGUAUUACCGCGGCUGCUGGCAC
RNAcentral lists this ribosomal RNA (289 nucleotides) under uncultured Streptomyces sp. RNAcentral describes it as "partial 16S ribosomal RNA". Lineage: Bacteria; Bacillati; Actinomycetota; Actinomycetes; Kitasatosporales; Streptomycetaceae. The record is from RNAcentral.